GAGCGCCCCGCAAGGGGAGCGGCAGACGGGUGAGUAACGCGUGGGAAUCUACCCUUUUCUACGGAAUAACGCAGGGAAACUUGUGCUAAUACCGUAUAUCCCCUCCGGGGGAAAGAUUUAUCGCCAUAGGAUGGGCCCGCGUUGGAUUAGCUAGUUGGUGAGGUAAUGGCUCACCAAGGCGACGAUCCAUAGCUGGUCUGAGAGGAUGAUCAGCCACAUUGGGACUGAGACACGGCCCAAACUCCUACGGGAGGCAGCAGUGGGGAAUAUUGGACAAUGGGGGCAACCCUGAUCCAGCCAUGCCGCGUGAGUGAAGAAGGCCUUAGGGUUGUAAAGCUCUUUCGCUAGGGACGAUAAUGACGGUACCUAGAUAAGAAGCCCCGGCUAACUUCGUG
Molecule: ribosomal RNA, 395 nt
Filed under: uncultured bacterium
Lineage: Bacteria
Description: bacterial SSU rRNA
Rfam family: Bacterial small subunit ribosomal RNA
Source: RNAcentral